AUUGAACGCUGGCGGCAGGCUUAACACAUGCAAGUCGAGCGGGGGAAGGUAGCUUGCUACUGGACCUAGCGGCGGACGGGUGAGUAAUGCUUAGGAAUCUGCCUAUUAGUGGGGGACAACAUCUCGAAAGGGAUGCUAAUACCGCAUACGUCCUACGGGAGAAAGCAGGGGAUCUUCGGACCUUGCGCUAAUAGAUGAGCCUAAGUCGGAUUAGCUAGUUGGUGGGGUAAAGGCCUACCAAGGCGACGAUCUGUAGCGGGUCUGAGAGGAUGAUCAGCCACACAGGGACUGGGACACGGCCCAGACUCAUACGGGAGGCAGCAGUGGGGAAUAUUGGACAAUGGGGGGAACCCUGAUCCAGCCAUGCCGCGUUUGUGAAGAAGGCCUUAUGGUUGUAAAGCACUUUAAGCGAGGAGGAGGCUACUCUAGUUAAUACCUAGGGAUAGUGGACGUUACUCGCAGAAUAAGCACCGGCUAACUCUGUGCCAGCAGCCGCGGUAA
RNAcentral lists this ribosomal RNA (501 nucleotides) under uncultured bacterium. RNAcentral's name for it is "partial 16S ribosomal RNA". It matches the Rfam family "Bacterial small subunit ribosomal RNA", at positions 30 to 523 of the family's 1533-position model. The record is from RNAcentral.